ACACUUGCCUCGCCGACCGCCAUUUCACAUCCAGCAGAGGAGGCGGGGGCAGCCGCUGAGACGGUUUUUCACAAGUAUUCCCACGAGCAUUCUGCUGAGAUGAACAAUCAGAUGACCUCGUGUGAGAUUUGGAGGAGAGAAGGAAAUGGAGAGCAUGCGUCUGCCGCUUCUGUGGUUUCUGUCGUUAUGAAAUUGGAUGUGCCACACAACAUGCUCUUCAGCCGGUCAGAAAACGAAAAUAUUUUUUCAAGGCCUGGCUGACUGUUGUGUCAUCGUCUACAUGCACUUGUGGGCACACAGCUGAAUGGGAGGCAAAGAGAUGCAAAAAGUGAGCUGAGUGGCAGGAGGACUAAUUCCUGUCCUCUCUUUAUUGCCAUGGGAUUUGCUUUCAAUCCUCA
This 398-nucleotide long non-coding RNA is filed under the name Homo sapiens (human). RNAcentral's name for it is "non-protein coding TRAF3IP2-AS1:49". The record is from RNAcentral. Lineage: Eukaryota; Metazoa; Chordata; Mammalia; Primates; Hominidae.